ACUACUGGAAACGGUAGCUAAUACCGCAUAAUGUCUGCGGACCAAAGCGGGGGACCUCCGGGCCUCGCGCCAUCAGAUGAACCCAUAUGGGAUUAGCUUGUAGGUAAGGUAACGGCUUACCUAGGCGACGAUCCCUAGCUGGUCUGAGAGGAUGAUCAGCCACACUGGGACUGAGACACGGCCCAGACUCCUACGGGAGGCAGCAGUGGGGAAUAUUGCACAAUGGGCGCAAGCCUGAUGCAGCCAUGCCGCGUGUAUGAAGAAGGCCUUCGGGUUGUAAAGUACUUUCAGCGAGGAGGAAAGGUCAGUAGCUAAUAUCUGCUGACUGUGACGUUACUCGCAGAAGAAGCACCGGCUAACUCCGUGCCAGCGGCCGCGGUAAUACGGAGGGUGCAAGCGUUAAUCGGAAUUACUGGGCGUAAAGCGCACGCAGGCGGUUGAUUGAGUCAGAUGUGAAAUCCCCGGGCUUAACCCGGGAAUUGCAUCUGAUACUGGUCAGCUAGAGUCUUGUAGAGGGGGGUAGAAUUCCAUGUGUAGCGGUGAAAUGCGUAGAGAUGUGGAGGAAUACCGGUGGCGAAGGCGGCCCCCUGGACAAAGACUGACGCUCAGGUGCGAAAGCGUGGGGAGCAAACAGGAUUA
This 639-nucleotide ribosomal RNA is filed under the name uncultured bacterium. RNAcentral's name for it is "bacterial SSU rRNA". It matches the Rfam family "Bacterial small subunit ribosomal RNA", at positions 146 to 780 of the family's 1533-position model. The record is from RNAcentral.